UGCCCAGACUCCUACGGGAGGCAGCAGUGGGGAAUAUUGGGCAAUGGGGGAAACCCUGACCCAGCGACGCCGCGUGAGGGAAGAAGGUUUUCGGAUUGUAAACCUCUGUCCUUGGUGACGAUAAUGACGGUAGCCAAGGAGGAAGCCACGGCUAACUACGUGCCAGCAGCCGCGGUAAUACGUAGGUGGCGAGCGUUGUCCGGAAUUACUGGGUGUAAAGGGAGCGCAGGCGGAUUGACAAGUUGGGAGUGAAAACUACGGGCUCAACCCGUAACCUGCUUUCAAAACUGUCAGUCUUGAGUGGUGUAGAGGUAGGCGGAAUUCCCGGUGUAGCGGUGGAAUGCGUAGAUAUCGGGAGGAACACCAGUGGCGAAGGCGGCCUACUGGGCACUAACUGACGCUGAGGCUCGAAAGCAUGGGUAGCAAACAGGAUUAGAUACCCUUGUA
This 447-nucleotide ribosomal RNA is filed under the name uncultured bacterium. RNAcentral describes it as "bacterial SSU rRNA". It matches the Rfam family "Bacterial small subunit ribosomal RNA", at positions 328 to 792 of the family's 1533-position model. The record is from RNAcentral.